AAAAAAUAAAAAUAAAAAAAAAGAAUAAGUUACUUCAUCUCUCUUAUCCUCACUUCCACUAACUUGCAGGACUCUUGAGAAGACCGGAUACAAUGUACAGUAAUAACAGGGACCAAUUAUCAAGCAGGCCUUAUUUAUCUUAGUUCCCCAAGAGUCUGGCCCAAAGCAAAGGCAUCAGGGAUCAUAUUACAGGGAGGGUGGCUGUUCCGGAUGCCGGAGUCUCCUCCACUUGGAGGUUCCAUGUGCCCCAGACACUACCUGAGAUGUAGGAUGGAAAUGCAGCAAGAGCACUGGACUGGGAGGUGGGAGCCUGGGGAUCCAGUGUGGGCUCUGCCGCUGGCGUUCUGGGCCAUUCUGAGGUCCCCUCUGAGGCCUUAUUUUUUUCAUUUUUAAAUGAAGAAAUACUGUGAUCCUCUACUAAUACACCUCCAAUCAUGCCUCCUCCCUGAUCUAUUUCAGUGGCUCUCCAUUCCCCUCAAGAGGGUCCAACCUCUCAGCAUAAGGCCCUCCACCAUUUGGGCCCCACCAUCCGCAUUGUUCACUACUGGCCUUCUCAUGCUCUUCAAGCCAGCCACCAGAAAUUCUUUCAGGUCUUCAACACACUGGGCUCUCUCCUGCUUCAGGGCUGCCUCAAAAGCUCCUGCCUUGUUCUGGAACAUGCCCCCCUCUCUCAUCACUUAACUCCUUCAGGUCUCCACUCUUCCACACGGCAGCUGCUCCAGGAAUCCGGAGCUCAGUCGGGGCUGGGGUGGAAGACAGAAAUUCCGGGUAGAGAAGCUGGCAAAGCAGCCACAAAGACAGAGAAAACCAGAAGAGUGGUAUCAUAGAAGGAACAUGAUGUGUUUCAAGGACAGUGUGGCCAACUGUGUCCAAUGCUACAGAAAGGCUGAGGAAGACGAGAUUGAAAAUCACCCACUGGAUCUGGCCACCAGGAGGUCACAGUGAUUCACAGGAUUCUUCCAAUGGCAUUUAUGGGGAAGAAACAGGAUGGAAGACUGACCAGAGUGGGCUGCAGAGUAAACUUGAGUCCAAAUCUCUCUCUUAAGUUCAGACACCUUCCUGAGCUCCCCAACUACCUGCUUGGGCCCUCCACUUGGAUGUCUCCUAA
This 1108-nucleotide long non-coding RNA is filed under the name Equus asinus (donkey). RNAcentral describes it as "lncRNA (ENSEASG00005036526.1)". Lineage: Eukaryota; Metazoa; Chordata; Mammalia; Perissodactyla; Equidae. The record is from RNAcentral.